This 71-nucleotide transfer RNA is filed under the name Loxodonta africana (African savanna elephant). It matches the Rfam family "tRNA". From Rfam's summary of the family: Transfer RNA (tRNA) molecules are approximately 80 nucleotides in length. Their secondary structure includes four short double-helical elements and three loops (D, anti-codon, and T loops). Lineage: Eukaryota; Metazoa; Chordata; Mammalia; Proboscidea; Elephantidae. The record is from Rfam by way of RNAcentral.
GCAGUGGUGGUUCAGUGACAGAAUUCUGACCUUCUAUGCAGGGAACCCAAGUUCGAUUCCUGGCCAGUGCA